This 1619-nucleotide long non-coding RNA is filed under the name Panax ginseng (ginseng). RNAcentral's name for it is "long non-coding RNA (PGIN_LNC016448)". The record is from RNAcentral. Lineage: Eukaryota; Viridiplantae; Streptophyta; Magnoliopsida; Apiales; Araliaceae.
UCAUCUUUAGUUCUUUACUAAGGAGUAUACCCCUAAAAAAGACUUAUAAAUAUAGUUAAUUUGUCCAAAAGAAGGUCACGCCAUAGGAGAUUUACAACAUAAAGAAUGGCCAAAUUUAUUUACAAAAUUCAUACAACAAAUUUAUUUAAGUACCACAUAAAAAUACAAUAUUAUAUCCUCCAAACAUUUACGUUGUCGUUAGUUUGGUGGGUCUUCUUUUGAUUUUGUUUCCUUGGAAUUGAGUUUUUCAUCCCUAUAAAAUAAAACAAUGCACCAAAGAGUGCAAGACAAAUAUAUCAGAAGAUAUGGGACUGCCAAAAAUAAAUAGCAAGACCCCAAGACCUUUGAGCAUAUGUAUGACAUUUGAGCAGAGGAUCAUUAACUGAGAUGCAAAUCAAUCACAAAUCAAUACUAAUAUAUAAAGGAAGUAAGAAUGAUCCAAAACUCACCUCUCAAUUGCAAAAUUCAAUGAGUCAACUCUUAAUUAAUUAAGAGUUAACUUGCUCAAUUGGAAAACUCACGUGUGUGCAGCUAACAAAAGGAAUUAAUAACAAUGGAGCCAUAUUCCUUGACAAUCUACAUUUAGUAACAGUAUCAAUCAAAAUUAAAUAGUCUAGUGAAUCCAUUUCUCAAUUCAUUCAUUCAUAAUGAUCAAAUAAAUGAAUAGACUUGCCUUUUUGUAUACAUUUGGCAUUGUCUACAAUGCACCUUACUCUGCUCUCUGCCAACUGAGCUUUACCGUUAAGGAAAAGGCAAAAAACCCAGUUUUUAUGAUAUAUGAUAGUUUUGGCUUUUUGGCAUCAAAGAGACAAAAAGAAAAAAAUAAUAAUAAUACUUUCAAGCCCAUGUGAAAGGUCUAUAUAUAAUUAUAUAUACAUGUAUUAUUUUUAAUAAUUUUUUGAGUUGAUGUAACUAUAUAUUUCUAAAGACAACCCAACUGCACAGAAAAUCAAGAAUUUCAUUCAUACUGCAAGAUCAUAAUCAUGAGUACUCAUAUAUAUAAUAUAUACUUGUACAGACAGACAGACAGACAGUCCUAAAUGGUUUAUGAGAGAGAAGAUGCAGAAGAAAUUAACCCUUUUAUGGAUUUAAAAUUACAGAUUAACUUCUGGUAUUCUCAGAGUUCGGUUCAAGCCCAGAGCCCGGAAAUCUGAAACAAACAGAUAAGAAAUUUGUGAAGAGAAAAAAAAUGGACAAAGAAGACAGUAUUCAAGAAAUCUCUGCUACUUCAAGAAGUUAAUAACAGGAGUUGAUGAAAUGGAGAGAGACAGAAAGUGGGUCAAAUCGUACCUUGAAAAAUUCGAUGAACCUUCUUUCUCUCGCUUGCGCAGUUGAAUGAUAGGAUGGGGGAGGUUUCAAAAGCAAAUGCAAAUUUUAAUCAAAUUGAAUAGAGUUCCCACGCAUGAAAUUAACUUUGGAACCGGAUCCAGUUCUGAGAGGCAGAGCAACUCUUGGGGAGUUACAAAAAAGAGGGAUGGUUGGGUUUUAGAUAUUUCAAAGCAGAAGAGAAGAGGAGUGGAAAGAGAAGGUGAAUUAUGGAACAGAUCUUGGGUUUGUAAACGGCUAAUAAGAUAAAGCGAUGAAGAGACCAAAUUAAAUGGAGAAGGGGAACGGNNNNN